This 37920-nucleotide long non-coding RNA is filed under the name Manihot esculenta (cassava). RNAcentral's name for it is "long non-coding RNA (MESC_LNC008472)". Lineage: Eukaryota; Viridiplantae; Streptophyta; Magnoliopsida; Malpighiales; Euphorbiaceae. The record is from RNAcentral.
UUUUUUUUUUCUGGGUUUUCUUUAUCAAAAAGUUUUUGUGAGGAAUAUAUUGCUGACUGAUGUUAGUAAGGCAGUGACAUAUAAAAUUGUUAAUUGUGAUAGAAAAAUAAAAUUUCUUUUGGUUGCUGUGAUGAAAUGUGGCCAAUGAGCACUUGGGCAUCUCUCUUGAUAUAGGCUCUUUAUAGUUCCUACAGCAUUGACCAGUGAAUAAUUGUAAUAUAGGCAGUGUAAACCCACGUUCGUAAAAGAAAGGUGAAUGAAAGAGUUAAUAAAUUUGAUGUACUCAAAUCCAGAAAAUAAGAUUUACAGUGAUUGUUGAUUAUCUGAAAUCCAGAAAAUAAGGUUUUACAAGGGGUUUAUAAGUUUGGUAUGAAAGGAGGGUGCUCCUCUCCUUUUAUUCUUUUUCUUGGUCUGUCAGUGACGUGUAAUGGCCUCCCUGCCAUUGGGCCACCUGUCUCUACCAUACGAAUACGGUCGUACGAAGAUAUCAGUCCUCUGCUCCAUGCGUAACGGCCAUUUAAUUCUCCCUUCUAGCACACGGGUUAACCGAGCAAUUCGGAAUCGAGCCAGUGGUCCUCACUUUGCUAAGCUUCCAAGCCGAACUCGGGUAGAGAAGGCUGGGUCCUGAGAAAAGGCCGAUCUCAAGGACGAAUGGGUUGGAUCUUCUCAUUUACGGGAUUCCGCGGGUCCUGGACCGACCCUAUCACUAUGGGCUCGGCCUCUUAUCAGGGUAAUGAAACCCAGCGGUUAUCAAUUGUGUAAUAAGUUGUUCCUCCCUUCUAUUCUUUUUUUUCUUUUUUCUGUUAAUGAUGUUUAAUUACCUUUCUACUACAGUGCCACGUGUCUCUAUCACUGAAAUCCGUACGUACAGAUGUGUAAGGUCCUCUCUCCACGCCAGACAGCCAUUUAAUUCUCCCGGCAUGCAUACAGAUAGGGCUGUAAGGGGAUCGGGUCUGCUUUCCUACCUCUUGUCACAUAGAAAUAAAAAUUAAUUUUAAAUAAAUUUUUUGAAAAUAAAAAAUUAAAUUAGUCGAAGGAACUAUUGUUUAAUUAUAAGCUAACAAAGGUAGGCAUAUACAUGUAAAAAAAGAAACAACAAUGGUCUAAAUUGGGCCUUUGAGGAACUUUGAAGAGGGACGGUGGUCCUUACUUGGGCUUUUACAAUAAAGGGUAGUGUCCUAAAAAGUUUUAGAUAGGCUGUUUCCUAUAUGCAUUGCUUUUCCAUGGGAACCUCCUACAAGAAUCCAAAGAUGGCAGUUACAACAUGCACCGCUCCAAUUCUUUUUUUUUUUCUUUGCAUAAAUUUCACAUGCCAAUAAUCCUAAUUUAGAACCUAAAUAUUUUAUAAAUUUAGAUCUUGUUUGGUUUCUAAUGUAUUAAUUUUCAGAAAAUUCUUUUUUAAAAAAUAAAUUAAAAUGAGUAAUGAGAAAUAAUUUAUAUGGGUGUUUUAAUUUAUUUAAAAUUAAAUUGAGUUGUUAUUUUUAAUUUUUUUUAAAUAAUCGACAGCUCGGAGUCGAUUUUUCACAAUUUUAAUAUCCAAUAAAAGAAAUUAAAAUAAAAAAGAAUAUUCGUUCAUGUUUUUACGCCAGACAAAAGGGAUAUUCACAAGGACGAUAUGAAGGAAUAUCAGGACGCGUGUCACGAGGGAAUCUUUUCCGCUCUUUCUCUCUUUCUUUCUCUUUUAUACCCUAAUAGAAACAUAAUUAAAUAAAAGAUUAAAAAAAAAAAAAACUCACAUUACAUGCAAACGCAUAAAGAGAGAAUUAAAGGAGAAGAAGAAAAGAAAAUCACAGAGAGAAUCUGCACAAAAGGUGUGGGUUGGAGCCUUCUACUACAAGCCUUCAUUCAUAACCCUGUGCAGAAAUUUAAAAAAAAUAAUAAAAAAUAUAAUGUUUUGUUUAUUAAAAUUAUUUAAUUAUUUUAUGAUUUUAUAAUUUAAACGAUAUUAAAUUUAUUUUUAAUAAUUUCUAUUUUUUAAAAAAAAUAACAAAUCUGAUAAUAAUAUCAAAGAAACCCUUUGGAAUUGUGGUUGAGUCGUAAUGCAGUGGAAUUCGAUGCGCUUCUCUUUGAGGAAGAAGAUGACUUUCACCUUUAUCUUUCACGGAAAAGGCAGGCAUUUCUAAUCACUGCUGCCUCGCUCGGACUUAAUUACACUGUAAUAAUAUUAAUGGAUAUGAAUAAUCCCAUCAUAUUCCGACCCGGAUCCGAGUAGUGUUAAGGAAGUUGCAGGUUUUUUUUUUUUUUAAUGAAGAUGAAGAUGAAGAUUUAAAGAGAAUCUUGUUACCUUCCUAGCCACUUCAUUAAAGCGAGUAGCAGAAGAAGAUUCCCAGCCCUUAUUAUUAAGCAUUGUGGGUUGUGGUAGCUAAUAGCUCUCCUCCUUAAUUUAGAGUCGUAGAAUUGGAACUAAGAUAUUCCUUCCUUGGAGCCAAAUAUUUUAUUCUUUUAUUUAUUUAUUUAUUAUUAUGUUAUUUGGAUUACAUAUUCUCUUUCUUUUAAAUUUAACAGCAAAUUAUGCAACUUUUGAAACCAAAAAGAAAGUUGCUUGGUGGAUUCAUUCUCAAUUAUGCCAUUUGAAUAUGUCCUCUUUCUUUCUCUCAUUCAUUUCUUCGUAUCUACUUUUCUUUUUACCCCUACAUCCCUUUAUUAAUUAGAAUUCUUCUUAUUAUCACAAAAUUAAGAAGCUGGGGUUCAAUCAUCUUAUCGAAAACACUACUGAUUUAGAAAGCCUAAACACGAGUACAUCUGAAAGGGGAUCUGAACCAGCUGAUGCAUGCCACGAGUGUCUGAUUCAUCCACAUGAAGUGUUAAGAUAAUCUACGUAUACAUGAAAGAAUGAGAGAUUAAAAGAUCGUUAAUGGGGUUUGAUUUAAAAAGUGGGAGAAGAAUCAUAGACUUGUAGCUAGGCUAAUAAAAUUAAAGGAAAGAAAAAAGGAAUAACAGUAGAGAGAAGAAUCAUCUUUUAUAGAGAUGAUUUAAAUUCGUAUAAAGACUGAUAAACUAAGCAAAUGACUCAUGUAGUGUCAGAGUCCUGAUUCCUUCUCUAAUUUUUUUAGCUUUUUUUUUUGUUCUUUGCAAGAAGUUACCAUCCUUCUUUAUCUCUCAAUAGCUUUAAUUUCUUCCUUUAAUUUCUUUUCUCUUUCUCUCUCUUAAAACCCUACUUUAUUCCUUCUCUUCAGCUCACCUCUAAAAAGAAGACGGUCCUGCCUCAAAUCCUCCUUGUGUUCAGAGAAAACAGCUUCUUACUUUCUUUGUUUCUCUCUCUGACCUACUUCCAACUCAUAUCCUGUUCUUGUUUUUAGUAUGAACGUUGAGAACAAGAACGUGUUUCUUGAGUAGAGUGGGUUUUGUUUAUUGAUUCUUGCUGCUGUUUCAUUAAUUUACGUGAAAAUUUUUAGAGGGUAUGGCCUCUCCAUCUGAGCUAACCCUGGAUUGUAGACCUCAGAGCUAUUCUAUGCUAUUGAAAUCUUUUGGGGACCAGAAUGAUCACACUCUAAAGAUUGAAGAGUUUCUCUCUUGCCUUGAGGAAGAAAGGCUAAAGAUUGAUGCAUUCAAGCGCGAAUUACCCCUUUGCAUGCAACUUCUCACCAACGGUAUUUGGAGUCUUCAUCCUCUUUCUCUCAUGCAUUUUUCUAUAAACACACAGUUCUUAAACAUUUUGAUGCUUGAUGACAAAAGGAACAUAUAUCUACUGAUGGAUUCAUGCCCAUUAUUCUUAGACAAAAAUUUUAUAUUAUUACAGUAGAGAUAGAGAUGUGGAUAUUCAUGUGAUCUCUCCCUAAAUCCUAAGUUUUAAACUUUUCCUCUAUCCUUUUUCAUUUAUAGAAGUUUGAGAUGGCUUUCUAUUCGUGCGAUUUUGUUUGUCAUUUAUUUUCUUUGGUCUUAAAGUGGUUAGCUAUAGUUUUCAUAUAUUUCUUCUAAAAGAAUCCAAGUCAUCGUAGUUUAACGAAAGCAGGUUGAUGAUAUUUCAUUUAGUCACUAUUUUCAUUCUUCUUUUUCUUCCUCAGCUAUGGAGACUUCAAGGCAGCAAAUACAAGCCUAUAGAGCAAAUCAGGGGCCAAGGCCAGUGCUUGAAGAAUUCAUACCACUCAAAAACCAUGCCUCUGAAACCUUGGAUAGAUCGUCAAACAUCUCCGAUAAGGCAAACUGGAUGACUACAGCACAACUGUGGAGCCAAGACAGCAAUGAAACCAAACCUCAAACCACAUUAACCACUUCCCCUAAAGAAACUAAUAUAGGAUUCAAUGUUAGUCCCAAGCUGGGUUUAGACACCAAACAAAGAAAUGGAGGAGCUUUCCUUCCAUUCUCAAAAGAACGAAACUUGUGCCCAAGCCCAACUUUAGCUCUUGCUUCUGCUGAUCAGCAAGAAAUGGAAAACAAGAAAUGUUUGGAAAUUGAAAAUGGGUUUUCUUGUUCAAAAAGAGAAAAUUCUGGCAAGCUUGGCAAUAAUAAUGGUGGGGCUAUAGUAAUUGAACAAACAAAAGGAACAGGUAAUUCAUCUUCAGAUGGGCAAGCAACAAAUACUGGGACAAGUAAUGGUGCAGAUAAUACAACUACUAGCACUACAACGGGCAGCCAAACUCAUAGGAAGGCAAGGAGGUGCUGGUCCCCGGACUUGCACCGGAGAUUCGUGAAUGCUCUGCAAAUGCUUGGCGGUUCUCAAGGUAAAUAUCUAUACAUGUCAUCUGAUAAACGUCUUAAUUAUUUUCUUCAUGAUUGCUUUUCUUGAUUCUGUUAAAUACUGGUAUUUGAUUGGUUUCUUUCAUAUUAAAUUAAACAGUGGCCACACCAAAACAAAUCAGAGAGCUCAUGAAGGUUGAUGGAUUGACAAAUGAUGAAGUUAAAAGCCAUCUGCAGGUAUAUUUCUACGAUGUUUUAGAUUCAGUUUCAGUUUCACAUUCAGGGAUGCAUGAAAGAGGCUUUGUGUGUAAAAUUUCUUUUGAUCUGACAAUAUACACACUCGCAGACAAUGCAGAGUUUGUACUGCACAGUGCAUAUACUUUGAAUAUUUUAUAAAAUUAGUGGGUAGAGUACAGAUCAGUUCAUGAUGAUAUUUUAAUUGGUGGUGGUGGCACAGAAAUAUAGGCUGCACACAAGGAGACCUAGUCCAAGCCCACAAGCACCUGGAGCCCCAACACCUCAGCUCGUCGUUCUAGGAGGCAUAUGGGUCCCACCGGAGUAUGCCACAGCAGCUGCAGCAGCUCACAGCGGGGCCCCUACCCUCUAUGGUACACACCCAGCUUCCCAUGCACCGCCGCCUCACUUUUGUGCCGCACCACCUGUGCACCAAGACUUUUAUACUGCAGCAGCAGCAACUCCAUCGCCGCAGCAGCCUCCACACCACCACCUGCACAGCACACUACAUCACCAACUCCAUAUGUAUAAGGCCACAUCACAGGGUCAUAGCUCCCCGGAGUCCGACGUAAGGGGAACUGGAGACAGGUCUGAAAGCAUUGAAGAUGGCAAGUCAGAGAGCAGCAGCUGGAAGGCUGAAAGUGGCGAGAAUGGCGGAGAAAGAAAAAGUUGGCUGCAUUGAGAGAAGAAGAUGAUGAAAGCAACGGAAGUGAGAUAAGUCUUAAGCCUGUGCUUGCGGUAUUAGAGAUUAGGGUUAAUUAGGUUUUGGAGUUCUAAUUUCUAACGUUGAUGUGCUAUGUACUAAUUAAUUCUAUUCUACAUUUGAUGUCGAAAAUCUUCUAGAGAGAGAAAGAGAGAGAAGGGUAAAAAAGGUAAAUCGAUAAAGUGAGUGUUUGUUUUUUGCUAUUCAUAACAUCCACCAUGAAAAUGAUUGAAACAUUAUGCUUCAUUUUUGGCUUCUUGUGGUUUCGGCCUCAUGGACAGAUUUGCCCUUAUGAUCACACACAAUGACUGUCGGUGCUAGGGGAAAUUGGGACGUCGUGCCAUUGUCAGUUAAAAAAAAUAUUACUUUAAAUAUAUUGAUUAAAAAUAUUAAGAAUCAAUUUAAAAUCAAGUUCAAUAUAUUUUAGUAAUUAAAAAAUAAAAUAGUUUUUUAAAAAUUGCUUUUAGUAGUGUCUAAGUUUUUUUGUUUAAAAAAAGAAGCUUUUUUUAACUUAAAAUUCGAAUGCAAUCCUUUAGUUUACAUGAAAAAAUUAUGCGGCAAUGCUACACUUAACAAGGAAGCUAAAGAUGGGAUUAGAAAAGAGAAACCGAAAGUGGGAGAAGGGAGAUGCUUGAUUUCUUUCUUUCUUUCUUUCCAGCCUGACAUAAACUUCUUACAAGCUUUCUUAAAAACACAUAACCAGCCUUUCUAAUUGUUGCUUUGCUUUGCUUUUCUUUCUGUAGUUUAAGUUAAAUUCUUACAGUAACCUUCAAUUUGAGCUGCACAAAAAGAAAAAUCGUAUCUUAGUAUUCACACACCAUGUGUUUUCGCUUUCGAUAAAGUGAACAUUCAAGGAUAUUGCAUCCUUUGAAAGGAUUAAAAUUUUCCCCACAUUGAAACAUGAGCUUUGCUUUACCAUUUUUCUAUUGCCAGUCUGACAAUUUUUUCUUAUUUUUGCCUGAAUAGGAAUACUUUCAUCUCAAAAUUUAUGGGAAUGGAAUUUUAUCUGCUUGAUAUCUUACUGAAAAUUAAAAUGUCAAGCAUGUAGCAUCCCACUCCAUGCCCUUUGUAAGACUGAAUGAAGGUAUGCAAAUUGAUAUCUAAAGCCCAAACUGUAGGGUAGUGUAGUUUAUGAAAAUGACUACAUUUUGGAUAACCCAUUAAAAAAAAACCUAAAGGAUGUGAUAUUGAUGGAAUCAGAAAGAUGAGAUUGGUAGUUAGAUAACUCAAAUUGGAAGGAGCAGAGCAAUAUCUGAUAUUUCUACUUAGUUUAAAAACGAAAUUACAUCACAAUUACUGAGCAGAGUCAAGCAUUACAAAGUACAUAUCUUCAUCCAUAAAGUAAAUCUUUUCACUAAUCUUCUGCACCAAAAUCAAGCAUUGCCGUGUAUUAGAACUCCAUCCCUCAUUCCAACAUCAUCAGCCACAUCACUUUCUAUCAUUGUUGAAUCAACAAGAGACUGCAAAGAAAAGGUUCAUGCCAUGAUUACUACUUUCAUGAUCAGAUGAAUGAAGUGCCACAUAAGAAUAGGAGAUCACAACAGUUUACCAAGUUUUUUUUGAAAAAAAAAAAGUUCACAAGUUCACAAAAGUAUUCAUGAUUGCCACGCCAGAUAUACAUGUAUAUUUUUCUUAAUAUCAUAUAUAUGUAUCACCGUUAUCCACUCCAACCACACAACAGAGAAUUAUUUGUUGCAAAGCCACACAAAUUAAAAACCAAUUUUUUUCUUUGGUCUUGUUUUCUGAUUGUCCUACACUUAGAUUUUAGGCAAAGCAUGUGCUGCAGCAGAACAUAUUAACUCAAUUCAGGCAAGCAACCAAUAAGAAAACCCAACUGCAUAUUUCAUUAUCUUCUAGAUAGAUUAAAUGAGCACAAAACUGCCAAUGAUCAUCAGAUGGACUGCCAAUGAUCAUCAGAUGGACUGCCAAUGAUCAUCAGAUGGGUCUGAUGCUCACAAGAGAGUGAAUUCACAACAAUUAUGGCCUCUUAUAAAAACUUGAGUUUGCUUUAUUUUUCUCAACAUGACUGUUAUUUGCCCAUUUAAAUUUGUUUUUGCUCAAAGACCAAAUAAACCCAAUUCAAUUUUUUUGGCUAACUAAAUCCCUAUACUUUUACUCAAGUGCCAAAUAAAGUCUUGCGGUAAUACAACAUUAUUUUUUAAUAAUAAAAUAUUAUUUUUAAUAAAAUAUUAUUUAUAUUAUAAAAUUUCAUUUUUUGUAAUUUUAAAAAUUAUUUACUAUUUCUAUGUAUUUUUUAAUUUUUACGUUAAUUAAAAUACUAAAUUUUUGAUAUUUCAAAUUUAAAAAUAAUAUUAUAUUAUGUUACAACUUAUUUGACUUUAAGUAAAAAUACAGAAGCUUAAUUAUUUGGACUUAUUUAGUCCUUGAGCAAAAGUAUGGAGGCUUAAUUGGACUUAUUUUUGGUAAAUAUUCACUAGAAUCAGAGCUAGUUUUGCUGUUUGGACUUAUUACAUUUCAUUAAGGAAUAUAUUUAUGCGUUCACCAAGAACAAAAAAAAAAAGAAUAUAUUUAUGUAAAGAUGUACAACUACUAUCUAGUGAAUAUCAAUUGGGGUCAGCUUAAUUGGUAUGCCUCUAGGUAAUUAGGGGUCAUGGAUUGAAGCCCAAGCACUUCCUUAGAGAGAAGAGAGAGAGAGCACAACAAUCAAAGUAGUGAUUUUCCCUAAAAAGCUUUCUCUGACCAAGGCAGCUUGAGGAAGGCAUGAAGCACUACACAUUCACAUACUUAUAAAGGCCCUAAGAAAAUACAAUUCAAGUUGCAAGAAUAUGUUGCCUGAUCUAGAAAUGGUGCAGGCAGUAGCCAGUAGGAGAUUCCGAAUAUAGCAUCUUGUCAACAUUCUACGAUACACAUGCAACACAUGAUAAUUGUGCAAGAAAAUAUAUGAAAUUCUGUUAUCACAUACAUGCAGCACAUGUACUAAUGCAUUGUAAAAGAUAAAUUGAAACAAGCUACCAUUUUUUAAAAGACAAGAAAAAAAAAAUAUUGCGCACGUAGACGUAGUAAUGGGAAAGCAAUCAAAAUGGGUCAGAACCAAUUCUAUUAUGGAAACAAGCCUGCUUCUUGAUGGGAACAUGGAAGGCAUUAAUUUACAAAAAAUAAGAUCCUGUGAUAGCAGAUAUGCAAUAGCGGCAUGAGUGAAGCCAACCAGAAACAAUUAAGUGGAACAUUAGAUUGAUUAAUGGUGCACUCCUUAAUGCACACAAUUGGUAGAGGCUGACCUGAAGUUCCUGUUCACAACUCUUAAGUCUUUCAGAGUAUUCUUUCACUUGCAGAAAACUUUUAUGCAGCUGCAAGUUGUACCCACACAUGCAAUUAAACAAAUGAAAGCAAAAGCUCAAAAAGGUUUCAAGAGUCUAAUUGGUAACAUUAGGGAUUACCUUGGUCAAUUGCACCUUAUUAUGUGAAGAGCGCUUCUUUGCAGCAAUCAAAGCAUCCUCCAGCUUCUGCAUUCACCAUUAAAAUUCUAAGUGGGGAUGAAAAGCAGGGCCUUUUUAUAAAACUCAGUAGCAACAAGCAAGGAUGGAACACAGUUUGGAGUCUUUGGACUAAAAGAGAAAACUCUUGUUUCGCAAUUAGAAAACACAUACCUGAGUUCUUUUCCGCAAAUUUGAAACAAGUUGCUGUUUCUCUUCUAACCUCUCUUCCAUCUCAGAGAUCUGAUUAGGCACUAAAAUUUAGCCUUCCCUUCUUUUAACAAAAUGCCAAAAUGUGCAGUGAUAUCAGGAAUAAUCGAUUAUGAUGGCACCUAAGAAAGUUGCAAAAUCAACCUUUGCAAACUUGGAAGGCAAUAUACUGAUUCCAAAGAAAAACUCUCCCCACCCGAGUGUACAACUUGACUUGUACACUCAACCAAUAAGGAAUCAAGAUAGCAUGAUCCUAGGUACAACCUACCAUGAGUUUAUACAGGACCUACCCUAAUUUUAGAUAAUAUGUUACAUGUAGAGUGAAGGGCCAUAUACUAUAUACACCCAAUUGUAGGCAAGAAAAACUUGACUCCAAAUAAAUGUAAUAUGGACAGGACAUGCAUGCAUGUCAAAAUAUUUGGCUGCAUGAAAUAGGAUUUAUGCAUUUAUCCAUAAUAAUGUGACAAAAUAUGAAGAAUUACAGUCUUUGAUUUAGACCUCCUUUUUAAGUUCAUCACGCCUCUGAAUUGAUCUCUCCAAUCUUUCUUUUACCUGAUAAAGAAGGACAAAAAAUAGUAGACUUAAGUACCUCAAAUUCCACACAGCAUGUGCUUAUGCAUUAUUUAAAAAAUGUAAUUGUGAGCUUACCUCAUCAUUGUAAUCAUCACUAGUAUCUGAAGACAUUUCCCUACUAUGUUGAUCAUUAUAUCUAGAACUGUCAAAAGGAAAGAUAUGGCAAAGUAAAUCUCAACCUGAUGCAAAAACAUGAAAACCUUACUCAGUUGUCUCAGAAGACAAACUAUUCUAAUAUGCUGGCUUUACAACCAAACAUAGCAACAUGCUACUUGCACAGCAAGACAUGGAUAAAAGCUACAGACAUUCAGAUUAUAUUAACCAUUAAUAUCUGAUCCCAUAUGAUGUAGAUGCAAAUAUUUAUCUUGGUUACUGUUUCUCUCAUAGGAUUACUAAAUUAGUACUAAGCAAACGUUGGAAGGAGUAGGAAUAUAACUUGUUGAAACAACUCCAAAUUGGAGUAUACCAGAAAAUUAAAGGGAAUAAAAGUUCAAGGAAAACCAAAAACAAAAUUGCUUAGGCCAUUUUAGUGAUGAAGAAUCUAGUUCCAAGUCCAAUUUAACAUGGAGUCUGCCUGUUUGUUGAUCAUAUACUCCUGAGCUCAUAUUCCUCAACAUGGUACAGUGCAGUGAAGCCCAACAGCCGUCAAUCUGAACCUAAAAGCAUAAUGGGCUAAGUCUAAAGGACCCAUAUCCAUGAGUUGAGACAAAACAAUGAGUCAGAUGCAGGUGGAGCAUGAGCUAGCCAAAAGGAGCUAGACUCUUGAGGACAAAGCUAAAAGGAGUCAGACCCAAGUUAGAUGGGCCGACCCAUAAAAUUCCAAGUGACAACUGGGCCUGCAAAGCAUAAGCUGAACCAAGUCCCACAUCGGCUAUGUCCUAGAAAAUUAAAGCACAUAUAAGUUCAAGGCUAACCAAAAAAACCAUGUUGAUGAGGGGAAGCACAGUUUUGAGUGCAAUUCAGUAUAGAAGCAUGUUUGUUUGUUGAUCCACACUCAGACCCAUAUUUCUCAACAACUACCAUAAAUGCUUUACAGUUUUAGAAUAAGCAUAUUUUUGCAUGACAAUCACACAUCACAUUUCACAAUCAGAAGUGUGUUAUGCAGAUAGAUGGAACAAACUUCAAUAAGCAUGCCAAUCAAAGCCAAGUAGUUUCUUAGAAGCAAUCUAAUCCCCUUCAAAAUAGCAUUUCCCUAGAAAGUCUUCUGAUGUCAAUUAAUUGGAAGUUCAGUGUGCCGAGGUAAUCAAACUUUAAAGAGACAGCACAUGAACAAGAUAUGAGUCAAUUAGCAUCAUGCUGCAACUUUCAUUCCCACUUAUCACAAAGUGCCAGCAAUAGGCAUAUAACAUAUUCAUAAUUAUAGCACUAACUCUCCAACUUUGUUCCUUCUUAGAUCCACAAGUCCAUAACAAUCAUAGUUAUGUUGUAAAAUUUACACAAAAAAUUAAAUAAACAAAAAAAAAAAACUUUUUGGUCAAGUGGCAAUAUCCAUGCAAGCAAAACUUUAAAGAAUACAAUGUAGCAACUAGCAACCAACAUUGUCCACAUAAACAACACAUAGUAAACCUUCUACAAGUAUUCGAUGAGAAAAAAGAACUAUCAAAUAUUAAGAUUUGAUUUAAAAGGGGAAGAAUCUUACUCAUUGUGUUUCCCUAAUUCUGGAUCUUUAUCCUUGUCAACAAGUUCAUGAUCAUCAUUAGUUCCAUCCAUCUCCCUUUCUUGAUCCCAAUGUAAAUCUCGACCUCUUUCCUGAUUCCAACUGUUGUUCCUUCCUUCUUCUUGUUCAUUACCAACCAGGUCUAUCUCUCGGCUAUGAUCUUUAUCCAAGAAAUCAUCCCUUGCCUGACCAUGAUCAUGUGCAGCCUCAUAUCGUCUUUCCUCAUCUUCAUCACGGUCCCAAGACCUUGCACGCUCUCUGGACCUAUCACUAUACCGUUCUCCAUACCUGUCCCUGUCACGAUCAUAAUCCCUUUCUCGAUCUCUACCCUUAUCCCAGUCCACACCCCUCUCUAUAUUAUGUCGAAAUCGUUCUCGACCAAAAUUUGAUCUCCCCCCUCUAGUUGUCACUCCAUUUACUCUGACAACUCGCCCAUCAAUAGUCUAUCAGCAAGCAUAAAAAUGUCAAAGUUCUAAAAUGCGAAACUAACUAUAUAAACACCCAAAAAGGCACCAUAUCAAUCAUAACUUGAAAAAUAACAAAGCAAGAAAUCAGAUACCUUGCCAUUCAUGUCAUUGAUGGCAUCAAUGACUGACCUUGGAUUUCUAAAAGUAACAAAGCCAUAGCAUUUUCCCCUUGUCCCAUGGUCAUUAAUAAUCUGCAGGACAGAGCCAUUAACAAACUUGGUCAACCAUAAAUAGGCUCGUUCUGCUUUGAUCAAUAGGUAAGAAAACUAUAUAGUAGUAAUCGCUUGGCUACUGAGAACCUUCUACCCACUGACCCAGUAAAAAAAUUAUAUGCUUCCCAAGAUCAUUCCGUAUAAAAAUUCAACAUAUUCUUUAAGGAAACUACAAUUUAACCUCGCAGAUAACUAAACAGUUUAUCGAACAAAUGAAAAAUUAAGUCACAGAAACCCCUAAUUGCAUAAUUAAAAUAUAAAUUUGCAAAAAAUAAGAAGAGAAAGAGUGAUAGAAAGCCAGAAGCACGAUUUGGGGAAAGAAAGGAUGCUCGAAGAGCGUCAAUGAUACCUUAACGGCGACGAUGGCGCCGUAGGGACCGAAUACUCUGCGAACGGUGUCCUCGGUAGCACUGUAAGGAAGCCCCCCAACGUAUAUAGAGUUUUCAUCGUCUAUCGUCAUUUUCUCAGUUAUUUUAUUCUGAAUUUAAUCUAUCGGUUCGCCAGAAAUUGCCCCUUGGAGCGGUUGUCGUCUUUUUGCCCCUGCGGUCUACCUCCUCUCUGCAUUUCCUCUAAUAUUUUCUACUGCUCCUGCCCACUGGUAAUCGAACGCACGUGCCCACGCGCUCCAGUCUAUGUGAAUAUACAUUAUGUUUUGGUUUUUUUUUAAAAUAGAGGUUAGGGAGUCCAACCGUCAAGACUACAUGAUACACUUUCCAACAAGGCCUAGCCUUGAAAUGCAAUAUACUUUAUGUUAUAAUCUAUCUUUUGUCUAUUUAAUAUAUGUAAAAUAUAUACAGCAAUUAAUAAGGAAACUAAGAAGAAAAAAAAUCUUAAAAUUUUAAAUUAUUUAAUAGCAAAGAAAUUACUAUCAAAAUAUGUUUUUAUUAAGGUAAAAUUAAAAAAUAUAUAUGAAUUAUUGAAAAUAAAAAAUAUAAUUAUUUUUCCACUAAAGUCUCUGUUGCAACAUGAACAAGGAAAAGAAAAUAAAAGGAUUAGUGAAAUAAAAAAAUAUCUUUAUUUUUAAAUUUUAUUUUAAUACUAAUAAGACUCUCAAAUUUAAAAAUAAAAAAUUAUUUAAUAUAUAUUAAGAAAUAAAAAUUAUACAAUAUAAGAAUUUAUACAUUUAUUUUCACAUGUGUAAAAAAAAAGAAAUGAAAUUGAAGAGAUUUAAAAAAUAAGAGAUGAUUUAAUAAAUUGAUUUCCCAGUAAGCCUCAUAGGCCCAUUAGGACAAAUGGGCCUAAUGCAAAUGCUGAUUGGGUUCGCUGUUUAUUAUAUGCUGAAGUGCCCGAAAAGGUCCAAAAACCUGGGACAUCUAAUAUCAGCUAGGCAAUUGAAUCUUUUUUUCCUUUUUUUCAAUUAAAUUUUAAUUCAAACUCAAAUUUAAAGUUUUAUCCUCAAUUCAUUUAAAGAAAAUGUUUCUGAAAAAAAUAAUUUUUAUUUUUUAAUGUUUAAAACAUUUAAAAAUUUAAUUAAUAAAACUUUUUUCUUGAUUAAAUAGAAAAUUAAUUCAUUUUUUAAAUAACUUUCCUUUUUAAAAGAUAAAAUUAUGUUUUUAAUUUUAAGAGUGUUAUUACUAAUAUUAUUAUCUAUAAAUUCAUUAAUAUUCCUUAUUUAUAAAAUUACAAUCAACAAAAUAAAAAAUAAAUUGUUUUUUAAAAAAAUAUUUUUCCAAAAAAAGGUAUUUUUCAUAUAUAAAUUAGUUUGUUCAAAACUUUCAUAUAUAAAAAAGGUAUUAUUCGCUUAAUUUUAUAAAUUAAAAUUUUUAUAUAAUUUAAAUAUAAAUUAAUAUGAUUCUAUUAAUAAUAUUUAAGUAUAAUGUAUAUAUAUAAUUAUAUAAUUUAAAUUGUUUAUACUUAUAUUAAUAUAUUUAUUUUAUAUAAUAUUUUAUAUUUAUAUUAUAUGUAUAGUAUUUUUUAUACAAUAUAAAUUAAUUUAAAAUAAAUUAUAUAUUUAAAUAAAAAUAAAUAAUGAUANNNNNNNNNNNNNNNNNNNNNNNNNNNNNNNNNNNNNNNNNNNNNNNNNNNNNNNNNNNNNNNNNNNNNNNNNNNNNNNNNNNNNNNNNNNNNNNNNNNNNNNNNNNNNNNNNNNNNNNNNNNNNNNNNNNNNNNNNNNNNNNNNNNNNNNNNNNNNNNNNNNNNNNNNNNNNNNNNNNNNNNNNNNNNNNNNNNNNNNNNNNNNNNNNNNNNNNNNNNNNNNNNNNNNNNNNNNNNNNNNNNNNNNNNNNNNNNNNNNNNNNNNNNNNNNNNNNNNNNNNNNNNNNNNNNNNNNNNNNNNNNNNNNNNNNUAUAUUAAAUAUAUUUUAUAUAAUUAAUUAAAAGUUUAUAAUUAGUAUUUGAAUAAUAAAUAAUAUUUAAUAUUAUAAAUAAAUAUUAAAAUUUAAAUAAUAAAAAGAAAAAAAUAUUUAUUAUUGAUGGGAGUAGAAUACAAAACCUUAGAAAAACUAUCUUUCAUUGACUAUUAGAGUACAAAUUCGUUAAAUUAUUAUGCAUUAUUUUACAUAUAAAAUAUUAAAAAUUAUUGAAAUAAUAUCUCUUAUUCUACUUCCAAAACUUAUAGAGAUAAUAGACGAAACUCCUUAUAGAAAUAAUGGACCAAAUUCCUAAGUAAAUAAAAAUUUCAAUUUUUAUGGUAUUUUAUAUUAAAAUUUUAAUUACAAUAAACUUUAAUUAAAUUAUAUUUAAUUUUAUUAAAAUCUUUUUAUUUUUUAAUUUAAAAUUUUAAUAUUUAAAAUUUUAAAUUAAUUAGAUUUUGUUAAUAAGUUUUUUAAUCGAAUUUUCGAAUUCAAACUUAAAUUAGACUCGUUAUUAGUUUAAACGAAUUUUUUUUGAGUUUUCAAAAUCGAGUUUGAAUUAGUUUAAUUGAUUUUUUUACGAGUUGACAUUAAAUCGGACUCAAUUAUAAUAUUUAGUUUUUUAGUCAAACUCGAGCUCGCGGUUUAUAAAAAUUUUUAAUAAAUGAGUCUAAAUUUUAUGUAAAAUUUAAACCCAAACUCGACUCUAUUCAAUUAUACCUCUACCAACAAAAAUAACAAAUCGAAUAUAUUACAAAUCGAAUAUAUUUUUUAGGUCGAAAGCUCUAACACUAAUUAUAUAAAUAUAAUCUAAACUGACUUAAAUAAUUUUUAAAUUUAUUUUUAUUUAACAUAAAAUAAUUAAUUUAAAUUAUUUAAUAAUUUUUUAAUAAAAUUUAUAUAUUACACUCAAUAUGAAUCUAAAGAUUACUCCCUCAUUUUGUCACACGCAAUGUAAGGUGUUGAUGGUAUCUGUGCAUUUAUGAACAUUAUACUGCUUAGAUUUAAAACUAUACAAGUGUGUUGAUUAACUCGUAGUAUUCUGAUUCGAGUCAACAUGAGUACACAUAACUAAAUUUUAAAACCGGUCGUAUUUUAUAUUUUACCGCAUAUGAUAUAUUCACAAUGAAUUGUUGCUUCACUGGAUAAAAUCUGAGGAUUAAUGGUAGGUGGGAGUGCUAGGGUUAAGGGCACCAUGAUGGAUGAGCAGUGCAGCCACAGUCAGAAGCAAACAAAAGAGGAGCAACUAAGUGCAUAAGAUGAAGUUGAUCUGUCUUUGGGGUUCACUUGUCUCCACUAUCUAAUGCUGACAAAAAAGAGAUUGUCAUCCCCUUCAAUCAUCACCAUAUCCAUAUGCUACAUUUUCUCUCAUAGCAAAAAGAAUGUCAGAUAAAAAUAAUUGAUAUAUAAAAAAAAGUAGAUAAUGAUAGAGGGAGCAAAUGGUGCAAAACUAGAUUUUACCCAUUACUUAUAAUGACCAGUCCCUUUCCAUUACGAUGGGACAAAUUAGUUGUCAAACCACUAUAUCUAAUCACAAAUCAUCCUCCUAUAAAAUCCAAAUCUUUCUUCUCCAUAUUCAUUCCACUGCAUUAGAUUCUAUCCCCCUAUAAGUUUUAAUAAUUAUUUUUUUUAAAAUUUAACAUAUAAUUCUACCUUUUUAAUUAUUUAUUAUAAUAUUAUUAAUUUAAAUAUCCAAUAAUCUCUGUGUUUGGCAGUUUAUUAGUGUGGGCCAAGUGCAUUGCAAGCUAGAUAAAGCUACUUUUUAAAUAUCCAAUAAAUUAUAUGUUUUUUCAAAAAUUAAUUAAAAUAUUUAUAUGAUUUAUAAAAUUAAAAUCUAUCAUAUGCUGUUAAAUUUUAUGAAAAGAAACAUAUUAAUAAAUUUAUUUUAAUCUUAAUAUACUACUAAAUAAUACGAAAGUUAAAAUUAAAUUACAUAACUUUAAUGAUAUAAAUAUUUAAAAUUUAAAUAAAGUUAUCAACAAUUUUUAAUUGAUUUUGCAUAGGCUUAAUGAUAAAAUAAGCCGAACCUUUUUAAGUUUUUACAGUUUAUAUUUAAAAAAUAAUAAAACAUUAUUUAUUUAACAUUAAAUAACUAAUCAAACAUUAAAAUAAAAGCUAUUACUACACUAAAUUAUUUAUUUAUAAUUAUAUUUUGCAACAAAAAACAAUAUGUAACAGUUAGAUUAUAUCAUAUCUAUUAUAUGAUUCAUUAGUUUUGAUAAAUGAUUUUUUUACAUUAUGUCAUAUCAGAUAUAACCCUAAAGGAUUGCCUUAUGUAUAUAUAAAAAGAUGUGGAGCCGGAAAUCCCUGACUGAUGGGGCAUCAAACUACUUAGACAAUGCUCUUCCAGUAAAGCAGAUGCUUAGGUAGUGUGCUAAUGGAAUGUAGUCCAUUAAUUUUAAAAUUCGAUUGAAUUUUUAUUUUUAAAAUUUAUUAUUAUUUUAAUUUAAUUUAAUUUUAAUAAAAAUAUCGAUAAAAUUAUAAUUAAAAUUAAAUAUUUUAAUUAAAAUUUAAAAUAUUAAAAAUAAAAUAUAAAAAAUAAAAAAAUUUAUUAAAAAUUUAAUCGAUUAAAUAAAAUUGAAUUAAAUGAAUUUGAUUCAAUUUGAUUUAUACUCAAAAUUAAUUUGAUUUAAUUUUUAUAAAUAUUAAAAUUUUAAUUUUUAAUUUAUUUAAUUUAAUUUUAAAUCAAAUUCGCGAACGGUUGAUGCGUAGUUUAAAUAGGAUUUAAAGAUUUUGAAGGAAUUCUAAAUUUUUUCUUAAGAGUGUUUCGAUUUAGUGAUAUGAAUCGGUUGCGUAUUAGUUUUGACCGUGACUAUCCCAAUAAUAAUGUAUUCGUAAUUCAUCCAUCACUCAUUUUAACCGGAUUAAAAGGUACUUAGUUGCACAUGUCAUCAUUUUUCAAAUGGCUAUUAUCCGAACCUCUAAAUCUCGCUUUUAUUUUGUGGAAGUUAACUAUCACCCUAUAAUUAUCGACAGUUGUUAAAACAUGAUUUUAGAAUCCCUAUAAAUAUAAAAUCCCUUAUCUACCUGUCAAUAACUCUAGAUUUUAAGGAAAAAUGGCUAACUAAUCCUAUUAUGUAAUGGUAGUGUAGAAUUCAAAAUACAUAAUUCUAAAUAUUUAUUUGACAUUAUACUCUGCCCUUAAAUUUUAUUUUAUAUUUAAUAUUAUAUUCACCCAUAAAUAUGGGUGUGUAAUAUUCAGUUUAAACUGAAAAAAUUAAUUAAAUUGAAUUAAUUUAAAAAUUCGAUUUAACUUUUUAUUUAUUUUAGUUUAAUUUUUAAUUUUAAAAAAUUUAAUUAUUUUGUUCGAUUCGAUUUUUAUUAGAAAAAAUAAAAAAAAUCAAAUCGAACCGAUUAGUGAUAAUAAUAUUUUAUUUUUGAUAAUAUAAAAAAAUUAUACCGUAAUUAAAGUUGAAAUAUUUCAGUUAAAUUUUAGAAUACUAAAAAUAAAGUGUAAAAAGUCUAUUAAAAAGUUUAAUCGAUAAAGCCAAACUGAAUUAAACUGUGUGACUAAGUUCGGUUUCUAUUCAAAAUCAAUUCGAUUUGAUUUUUAUAAAUAUUAAAAUUUUAAUUUUUAAUUUAUUCAGUUCGAUUUUAAACCGAACUAGACCUUUAUUCAUAUUUACAGUAUAUUAACUUAAAUACUGUUCCCUCAUAUUUUUUUCUUUUACAGAUUACCAAAUUAUAAACCAACGUGAGGCACAUCAUUUGGAUUCCUAGUUUAUUAAUUCUAUUGUUAAUGUUUUAAUUCCUAUUUUGAUUAAAAUCUUACUGUUUGUCCAAAGGUUGAGUUUUACAAAGAGCAACAAUAAGGUAGGCCGUGUGCAUGCAAGAGAGGCUCCAUCGAUUCCGGUUUUUAUAGAUGUUUAAGGAUUUCUAAUUCUAUUUGAAUUACUUUGCUUCCAACUAUAAUAGUUUUAAUUCAUAUUUGUCAUUUAUUUAGAACUUCUAAAUUGUGUAUUCCAAUUUAGUAUAAGUAUUUUAAAUUAAGUCCAAUUUAGAUUAAGGUUUAGAAAUGUAUAAAUAUUCAUCCAUGAUGACCGCUGGAUUUCUCCAUCCUGAUCAGGGGCCAAGCCCUCAAUCACAGCCCAUCGCUUGGAGGCCCACACGACCCCAAUACAAACAGGUCCAGCCCGUUCGAACCUUAAUAUAGGGUCCAUAUGGAUUUCUCAACCAGCCUGAUCCAGUCCUCAUUGCCUCUCAGGCCGGCUCAGCCCUCACAACUUCUCAGGAUGAUUCUCCUUGGGCUCAGUCUUAUUCCUAUUUUCCGGCCCAAUUCGGAAUCGGAAAGAAGGCCCCACCUUCAGCCUUGUAGGUCCAUCCCCACACGCACGGAGAGAAUCAGGAGCCGUUACGCAUGAGACAGGUACCGGAUAUCCUCAUACGAUCGUAUCAAUAUAGCAGAGACAGGUGACCCAAUGACAACUAGGCCGUUGCACGUCACUGGCAGAGGAGAAAAAGAGAUAAAAGGAGAAAGAUCCUCCCCUAAGCUCUUAAAUUUUUUCUCUAAACUCUUAAAUUUUAAAAAAAAAUCUCUGUAAAACCCUAUUAUAUUUGGAUCUCAUAUCAUCAAUCCAUAUUUUACAAACUUCAUAAUUUUAAUCAUACAUUUCUCUCGUAGAUUAAUUUGUGUUUACUUUAUUUUUUUAAAGUCUUAAUUUAUAUCGGAUUUGUUCAUGUAUUUCAAACUUAUAAUAAAUUAAUAAAAAUAAAUAAAUAAAUAAAACUAAAAAUAUGAUAAUUGAAUAUUAAUUUUUUUUAUAAAAAAUAUAAUCAUUGUUACACAAAUAUCUUACCUCUAUUUGUUUAUCUUAGCGCUUUUACUCUAUAAAUUUUCGUAUGCAUUUGGUGUGGAUAAUACGUACCUCGUCAAAACAUGAGCACUAAUGAGCUUUGGGUACCUCGAAGGCGGUGCCCGCCUCCACUCCCUUUCUCAAAGCCUGCUCUCCUUCGCCUUUAACCUCGUUAAUCUCUCUCUCAAUCAAGCAUUUCUCUUCUCACUUGUCCCUCUCCAUCGUCAUAUGAAUCCCUCACCGGAAUCAAAUCUCAAGUUCCGGCAACUUUUCCGUCGACAACGUGACACACUCUUUUUCUUUUUUCCGCAAUAGUUUUCAUCAAUCUUGGUCUAACGUGCGCUAUUAUUAGCCCUUCAAGAAAAUCAGGAACCAGCUUGGGAAUGCACUGAAAGCAUUGCAGAGUGACAGUCACAGACAAAACACCAACUCCCUCCCCCUUCCCCCUCUCCUCUCUCUCUCUCUCUGUGUGUCUCUCAAGAGUAUGGAAUCUCUCAGGCAUUCAUUGGUUUCUUUAAUUUAUUGGGUUAUCCACUUUAUUCAAUUAUAUCCAUUCUUUUCAUGUUGAUUUUGCAAAAGUUUAGUUUUAUCAAAUGCACGCUUUGGUUCCAUGCUUAAAAGAACACCACCUCAAAAAGCUAUAACACGCGCUCUUUCUCCUCGUUUAAAGCUUCUUUUCUCUUCUUAAAGGUAGUGACUGUUUCUUGUUGAUGGGUAGAGAUGGUCAUUCUGAUAAUAUAUAAGAAGAAAGGGAAUCUCCUUUGCAUCUUACUUAAAUGCCUUCCUUCUAUAUUAAAUUAAACCUUCCAUCAAGAAAUUUUCAAGCUUUCUUGCAUGCUUAAAGAAAAAAGAAACUGUAGAUUUUCAUGAGGUUUGUUUGGCAGCUAGCUAGCUGGACUUUCUCAAGCUUUUUCUUGCUUGAUUCAAAGUUGCCAUUUGUUUCUUGUUUUGUAGUGCUUAAUUCUGAAUAGUUUCAUCCAUUCUCUCGAUAAUAUCUCAAAUUAAAGCAAGUCUGCUACUUUUACAAAACUGUAUUUAUGGGCUAACUGUAUCUUAACCAGUUAUGGUUUAAUGUUUACUCUCCUAGUCUACCAAAUCUUAGAACACUUCUCCUUUAAAUAAGAUCCUCGUACAUUUCACCAUUUGGUCUUGUCCAAUUUUCUCUCUAAAAUCACGCCUACUUUCUCUAGGUUUCUAUUGCCUAGCUACUCACUCACACUUCAGCUCUUACCUGCUUCAAAUUCACUGAUAUCUGAGUCCCUUAGCCGCAUUUUACAGUGAAGAUUUGCCGCAUUUACAGUGAAGAUUUGACAUACAUAUAUAUGCGCACACACAGAGAGAGAGAGAGAGAGAUCUAAUGCUGCGAUUUCUUUGAUAUAUAAAAUAUAUUAUUCCGUGCAGAGUCUGCAAGAUUUGGUUAUGAGCUCCAGAUACAGUUAAUGGAAGAGGCAAAUUAAGAUCAGUCUGCAAUAAAUGUAACAAGGGGAGUCGUAAAAGCAACAGGUUCGUUUCUCUCAGUUAUAAUAAAAUUCUCUUUUUAAUAUUUUCUGCAGGCCAUGAGGGAUUGUUGAAUCAAAUCAAUCAAAUUAUUUUAUUAUCGAUCAAUGGCGGUCGUUUGGUUUCCAACCAUACAUAUAUAUAUAUAUAUAUAUAUAUACACACGUCCUGUAUGCAGAUAAUUAAGGAUAUUUUUGCUUCAUUGCUGCAUUUCUUUCAUCAAGACUCCUUGGAUGACUUCUGCAUUGUGCAUGAAUGUGUGAUGUUUUCUAUUUAACGAAGUAUAAAAAAGAUUCAAUGAAGAGGACGGUAGAUUUUCAAUAUAUAAUUACUCUUUUUUUUUUUUUUUUAAGUUAACACCCAUGGCUUGCAUUAGGACAAAACUGGACCUGGGGAGGUAAUGUGGAAAUUUCAACCAAGUUUUUGGAUUGGGUUUGGUUUUCGUACAAAAUCGUGACGUUUCUAAAACGAAAACCAAACAAUGCUACGAGUCUGAAAGAGAUCAGACAUGUCUCCUUUGGGCCUGGGCUCAUGUAACUCCGAUCGACCUUCACCCACAAGAGAAAAAUAAAAAAUAAAAAAUAAAAAAGAUUUCUUUCGUUUAGUGGCCUUUCAGUAGAAACCCUAGUUUUAUGAUGAUCUAAGGGGGCACAGAAUUUGGCAUGGGAGAUAACAAGACCUGAUCAUUCUUGGUGUCAUGUAAUAAUCCCAUGGAUAUGAUCUCUCUCUCUCUAUUACAUAACCCUCAUGUAUAAAUGCUAUAAAAACCCAGUGGCUCUGUGCAGGGUACAACUGACAUCUGCACACAAACCCAAACUUCAUUAAACCAUGUCUGGUUCAUAGAGAACAAGAAAAACAAAAUAACACUGUAAAUCCAAAUCCUAUAGCAAAGCCCCCAUGAGUUAUCAACAUCGACAACCUUUAUAGCCUAAUUGUUAAUGUAUCUGGUUGAGUAUUGUGUAGUAGUACCUCUAUGUUUUGUCGCUGUUGAUACGUAGGGUGUGGCUUUGGGAUGAGUUAAAGCUCCUCUUUGUUCGCUGAAAAGAGGGCGUACAUUGUCAUUUGGUGUGCAAACUAAAGUUGGUGGUAAUCUUAUUUACCCUUUGGGACCACUAGCCCAACACUGUGCACUGGAUCUUCUGCUAAGCCCACCAAAAUAAUAAUUAAAAAAAAACAGUGGUCCUCCCUGCUUCCCUCUUCCCAGUCAAAAGAAUUUUGUUUUUUUAUAAAAAAUUAAAAUUUUUUUAUUUAAUAUUAAAAAAUAUAUUAAAAAUAUUAACUUUAACCAUAAAAUAUUUUAUUAUUUAGCCUUUAUAUUAUAAAAUAAUUUAUUAUUUUAUAUAUUAAGUGUAUUAAUUAAUAAGUUUUUCUAUGGUGCAAGGUUUAAAUAGCAAUUUUUUUUUUGGUGUGAGGUGUUAAUCGGACGGUGUUGUUGUUAUAAGAGCAGCUUUUGCAUUUAGAGGUAAAUAAAUCACUCUGGUUUAUAAUUAAUUACUGUUUCUUGUUUUUUAUUUUUGUGGAUCUGCAGUCAGCAUUAGCAAUUUUGAAAAAAAAUUGGAUAAAAAAGAAACAUUGGAGUUGAUGUUGGGUUGGACUUUUUGUAAAAAUGUCAGGACAGUGGAUUCUUAUUUACUUUUCUGCAUGUAUGCAAUGCACGUCUCCUUUGUUGAAUACUUUUCAGAGAAUAUACAGCGCUAUGAAUUAAGUAAAACACUGUCUAAGAUCGGAUGCUAUUGUCCUCUGCGUCCUUUUUGCUUCUUUUUAGCUUGCAGCCGUUACAAUGCUCCGUGUCAACCUUCUGAUCAUUCAACUUUUUUCUUCAAAUGUUCUCAGAGAAACGUGGAAAAAGUUAAACCCUUGCCUUUAUCAUCACUCUGCUGCUCUUUUCUUUGCUUUUCUUAUCUGUCACCUCUCUAUCUAUCAUGUAAUGCUUAAUAUUAACUGUUAUUCAAGUUGUUACACAAGUUUGAAUAUUUAACAUGUAUUUUCCUUGAAACACCCAUAGGUGAAAGUUUUACUUGUUCUUCAGAUAUGCCUCACAUGCAAAUCAAGGAUUCUCAGGAGAACCAUGUGGUGUCGUCUUUGCAAACCUUGGAUAUUGCAAAAGAGAGCAUACCCAGGAGGAGAAAUGGAAGGAGAAGAGGAGGCAAAGGACUCAAAAUGGAUUCCAAGAAUAUGUUAUUAUCAGAAGCUAAAGGAACUCCUCCUGCUUCAUGCAAAAGCCUCUUCAUGUUUCAUCGCAGGCCUGGGUAUGGUCAGCUGGGGACGAAGUGCAUGGUUAAAGCCAAUCAUUUUCUCGCUGAGAUACCCGACACAGACUUGAGUCACUACAGUGUAAGUUUUAUAAACCUUUCUUGUUGAGUUACCCUUUUAAUUAACUUGUCUUGGAGAGCUUGUCUGGUUAUGGAUUUUGUGCAAGAUGCAGGUAGAAAUAACCCCAGAAGUUACAUCUCGUAAACUGAGCAAAGCCAUCAUGACCCAGUUGGUAAAACUGCACAGAGGAACUGAUUUAGGGAUGAGGCUACCUGUUUAUGAUGGAGGAAGAAACCUUUACACAGCAAGAUCAUUGCCUUUUAUCUCCAAAGACUUCACUGUAACUUUGGUUCACGAAGAUGAGGCAACAGGCAAUUUCAAGUAAUCAAUUUGAGAUAUAAUACACUUAUUCUUAGCAACAUCCACAAGCAUAUAUGCUCUACUGAUGACUAUUUUUGGUUAAUUAGGAAAAGAGAAUUCAAAGUGACAAUAAAGUUUGAAGCACUUGCUAGUAUGCUGCAAUUAAGGGAGCUUUUUUCUGGAAAACCAGUUGAUACUCCUCAAGAAGCGAUUACUAUUAUUGACAUCAUACUAAGGGAAUUUGCUGCUCAAAGGUUGAACUAAUUUUUGUAGUUUUGUGGGGAUUUUUUUGUUUUCGUUUACUGCCCACAGCAAGGUUGGAAAUUGCUUGUUAUCUCUGGAAAUAUGCGUUUGUAUAGGUACGUAUCAAUUGGAAGGUCCUUCUAUUCUCCUGAUAUAAAGAAACCACAGAAGCUGGAUGGAGGUUUAGAAUCAUGGCGGGGCUUCUACCAAAGUAUAAGACCAACUCAAAUGGGGCUAUCACUGAAUAUUGGUAUGGGUUUUUAUCCAUUGAAGUUAAUAAUAUUUGUGUGGAAAAGGUUGAUAUUCCAAAUCUAAAUGCUUCUUUGUGCAUCUGUUUUCUAUUGAUCAGAUAUGUCGGCUACGGCUUUCAUUGAACCACUCCUUGUUAUUGAUUUUGUUGCUCAAAUUUUGUGCAAGGACGUGUAUAAAAGGCCAUUAUCAGAUGCAGAUCGCGUUAAGGUAUUAUACUAUUGUAGUGCAGAAAGCAAAUGAUCGGUUUUGUUACUUUAUAAAAGCAUCAUCUUUAGUGGUUCCCUGUUAUUUUUUGUGGACAAAAUGGGAGACAAAAGUUUAUGUAUGCUUCUCUGCACACAAUUGUUAGCCUCGAAAUAAGUGAUCUUGACAUCCCAAGUACCAUUAACUCUUCUUGAUAUUUUAAUCUUGACAAAGACCUAUACUAGAGAGGACACAGGCAUACUCCAUUAAUACCAGAAGGUGGAAGAGAAAACCAGACAAUGUCCGAACUUGGGUUUCCUAUAUUAUAGUUUAGCAAAAACUUGCCAAUGUCCCCUUCUAAUUUGAUGCGACCAAUGCCAUCAAAUUAAAACAGGACUUAACUUUUGUAAAGCCAUUGUAUCUGUUAAACAUGUGGACAUUUGGAUGCACAAAUUCAAACUUGAUUUAUAUAUUUUGUGUUAAUGUUGCAGGUCAAGAAAGCUCUUAGAGGUGUCAAAGUUGAAGUCACUCACAGAGGAAAUGUACGAAGAAAAUACCGAAUUUCCGGGUUGACAACACAGCCUACAAGAGAGCUAAUGUACAAAAUGAUAUCCAAUUAUCCUCUUUUCUUUAUAUUCUCAUAUGCAUAUAUUCUACUAAGCCUGUUAAACAUUUUGGGAAACUAGAAGUUAUCUUUUGAUUUUCUUACCUUCUUUAACAGCUUCCCACUCGAUGGGCAUAUGAACAUGAAAUCAGUUGUUGAGUACUUUCAAGAGAUGUACGGCUAUACCAUUCAGUAUCCUCAUCUACCUUGCCUGCAAGUAGGAAACCAGAGGAAGGUGAACUAUUUGCCGAUGGAGGUACGUUAAUAUAAUAUUUCUAAACGCAUUAUGAAGAUUGUAUGAGCCAAUUCACACAUAUUACACAUAUAUUUCCAGGCUUGCAAGAUAGUCCAGGGACAAAGAUAUACAAAAGGGCUAAAUGAGAAGCAGAUCACUUCUUUGCUAAAAGUUUCAUGUCAAAGACCCCGUGAUCAAGAAUCAGAUAUUUUACAGGUCUACAUCUUCGAUCCACUAAUUGUUUUGCUACUUUCUUGAUAAAUAGAAAACUUACUUUAAGUAUAUAUAUUAGAUCAUGUACUAAAGGAGACAUAAGGUUUAAUUACGUUGUCAUAUUGUCCUAUUCUGUCAUAUGCAUGUCCUUCAUUCACAUAGCUAAUGCUUCAGCUUCAGGAGCUAUGCUGUUAAUUGAUGUUCUUGCAUUGAAAGACAAACUAGUCUCACUAAAAUCUAGAGACUGAUAAUUCACAAAUUAAUGGGAGGGUCUUGAAAUAAAAUAAAAAUUUGUUGUUCACACCAACAACCUGAAGUUUCUUCAAUGUCUUCAGACAAUUCAACAAAAUGGGUACAACCAAGAUCCAUAUGCGAAAGAGUUUGGCAUCAGCAUAGAUAGCAAGCUUGCAUCUAUUGAGGCUCGAGUUCUACCGGCUCCAUGGGUACUGUUCUUUAUCUUUGCACUUUACAUACUUCAUGCUGUUACAGCUUAUUCAUUUCGUUUUGCUUAUUCAUUUCAUUUCUUCCCUCACUAAAAGCUGAAGUACAAUGAUACUGGAAAAGUAAAAGAAUAUCUUCCUCAAGUUGGCCAGUGGAAUAUGAUGAACAAGGUUUGUUGAUAUAUCACAUAUGCAUAAACUAAAUUAGAAUCUUUCUGAAAAUGCUUGUUUACUAGUGACAACGGGAAUGAUAACUUCUUGUUUUAUUCAGAAAGUGAUAAAUGGAAGUACCGUAAGAUAUUGGGCUUGCAUCAACUUCUCACGAAGUGUCCAAGAAACCACAGCUAGAGGCUUUUGCCAGCAGUUGGGUCAGAUGUGCCAAAUCUCUGGCAUGGUAAAAAUUCAUCAUCUUUCUCUAAUGGCAGAUUGGGAUUGCUGAAUCUAACUGUUGAUCAUUUUUGCUUCUGAUUGUCUUACAUGAAUGCCUAAGUUUACAAUUUGAUGUCAUUCCAGGAUUUUAACUGCGAACCAGUACUUCCAAUAUAUUCAGCAAGACCUGAUCAGGUAAAGAAGGCCUUGAAAUAUGUUUAUCAUGCAGCUGCAAAGAAACUUGAAGGGAAAGAACUGGAGUUGCUUAUUGCAAUUCUUCCUGACAGCAAUGGCUCAUUGUAUGGUAUGGUGAUUGGUUCUCGGCUUGUUGCUACAAGUUCAUUUUGCAUGAAUUAAAUGUUAGGUGGACCAUUAAUUUUCUCUAGAAAAAGAAACGAGAAAAUUAUUUGAACACCUUCCUGUAAUUGGAGAAUUUGAUGAGAAAGAUUUAUUCUAACAAUCAGAGAAUGCUCUAUAUUUCAGGUGAUUUAAAAAGAAUUUGUGAAACUGAUCUCGGGUUGAUUUCCCAGUGCUGCCUUACCAAACAUGUCUUCAAAAUUAACAGACAGUACUUGGCAAAUGUGUCACUCAAAAUCAACGUUAAGGUAUGUCAUAAUUACAUUAUCAUUUUGAGGCUUUAGAAACAGAACUUCAAAACUCAGACCAAAUUGAUAACUUUUUUCUCUUAUGUUGAAAACUUUCAGAUGGGAGGAAGAAAUACUGUGCUUUUGGAUGCUUUGAGUUGGAGAAUUCCCUUGGUCAGCGACAUCCCAACAAUAAUUUUUGGGGCUGAUGUAACACAUCCAGAGUCAGGAGAGGACACUAGUCCAUCUAUAGCUGCUGUAAGCCAAUCAAAUUUUGUAUCUUCAAAGGUUAGAGAUGAAAUUGCAGCUUAGUUUUUAUGCAUUUUGCAGGUUGUAGCCUCCCAAGACUGGCCUGAAGUUACAAAAUAUGCCGGAUUAGUAUGCGCUCAGCCUCACCGGCAAGAACUUAUUCAAGAUUUAUUCAAAACAUGGCAGGACCCUCAACAGGGAACUGUCUCUGGAGGCAUGAUCAGGUAAAUGAUUAUAUUAAACACAUGGACUAUAAUUUUUUUACCCUUUUCUUCAGAGAUGUAAUAAUGGACUAUGCAGGGAGCUCUUACUUUCAUUUAAGAAAGCCACUGGGCAAAAGCCAUUGAGGAUAAUAUUUUACAGGUACUGGUAGGCUAAUAUUUUCUCUUCAUUGUUGAAUCAAAAAGUUAGUUGUUCAAAUUGAGGAAGAAAAUUACCUGCAGGGAUGGUGUAAGCGAAGGACAGUUCUACCAGGUUCUGUUGUAUGAACUUGACGCGAUUCGAAAGGUUGGUGAACUGCCAAGUGAUGAUGUUUUUACCAAGUUUGGUUGUUUUUAAGCUUAUAAUCUAGUUUAUUACAGGCUUGUGCAUCGCUAGAACCCAGUUACCAACCUCCAGUGACAUUUGUGGUUGUCCAAAAGCGGCACCAUACUAGACUCUUCACGAGCAAUCACAACGACAGAAAUAGCACUGACAAGAGUGGAAAUAUUUUACCUGGUAAUUCUCUUAAUUUCCCACUGGUGAAAUUUGUACCGUAAUCAUCCAAGUCUUAAAAGCAAGUCUCAAAUUAUAAUUACACAAAAGUUGUUUUAGACUGUGGAUAAGGUGUUAGAUGGUGAUGUGAUCGUAUGUCCAAAUUAGAACAGAAGGUUCCUUUCAGGAUUGAUAAAUUAAAGAGUAGAGAUGCUACAAUCUUUGAUUUCUUCAAUGUAGGUACUGUAGUGGAUUCUAAAAUAUGUCAUCCGACUGAAUUCGACUUCUAUUUAUGUAGUCAUGCAGGAAUCCAGGUAUGCUGCUGAUUAUAUAUAUAAAAAUAUUGUUGAGUUGAGACUCGAAUAAUAUAAAGAUUUGUGUAAAUCGGAAUUGAAAAUUGACAGGGCACCAGCCGGCCUGCCCAUUAUCAUGUGCUGUGGGAUGAGAACAACUUCACUGCAGAUGAGAUUCAAUCUCUGACAAACAACCUCUGCUAUACGUAAGAAGCUAGACUCUGAUGCUUCUCUCAUGAUAUAAAUGCCUCAAAAAUAUUAAAGUUAAUUAAUUUGAUUAUUUUGUGGCAGGUAUGCAAGGUGCACACGCUCGGUUUCUGUAGGUAAUCUCUAAUAAUUUGUUAAUCUGGACAAUUUCUACUUAUUAUUUUCAUUGAGCUUCAUCUCUUGAACAUGGUGAAAAUCUCAGAUAUUACAUGUUGUGCAGUUCCUCCUGCAUAUUAUGCUCAUUUGGCAGCUUAUCGAGCUCGGUUUUACAUGGAACCUGAGGACGCGCCGGAGAAUCCUAAGAUGCGUUGCACACGCGCCGCCAAUGGAUCAUGCGUCCGCCCCUUGCCUGCAUUGAAAGAUAAGGUGAAGAGCGUCAUGUUUUACUGCUAAGAGGAAGAGCGGAAGCAAUGAAAAAUGGCUCGGUACAAAGAAUAAAGAAGAAGAAGGAAAAAGAAAAAGAGAGAUUAUAAGCAUUUGUACAUUGGUAUUCUUAGCUUAUAGUGCAGAGAUUCUCCACUGAAAAUUUUGACCACCCGCUCAGUGGUAAUGAAAUGAAGAGUUCUCAUUUUAAUCAAACUUGCUUAUAAAUAAAAUAUCACAAGUAGAUAAAUGUUUGUUUGGCUUGCAAAUUUAAAAAAAAAAAAAAAAACUAUUUAAAAAUUAAGUUCAAAGCCAUAAUUAAGUUUCACCUUAUUCAUUAUUUGUUUACUUUAGAACUAUUAUUUUACCAAAUAAAUGCAUAUAUUAUCCUUGUUUUAAUAGUCAUAACACUUAUUACUUCUUCUUUAUUAUUUUGGUAAAUUGAAUCCGUUCAGCCAUAAUAUAUAAUUAUUAGAUUAAAUAGCAUGAUUGGUUCAUCCAUUUAGAUAGAAAUAUAAUUUAGAUAAAUAAUUUCGCCAUCUUAAUUCAGUACGGUUUAACUUAUAAAAUUAUUUAAAUACGUUCAACUAUUUAUUUUGAUCACAUGACUCGAUCAAAUAAUUGGUUUAGUCUUAUGGUUCAUUAUUCAGAUGAAUAGUUUAUCUAAAUAGUCAAUACAAGCAUGUGAUUCAUUUAACGCAAGUUUUCUUACGUGGUUUGAUACUCUCGUUUUUUCAUUUUCUUUAAAUUUAACUCUUUUUUUUUUCAUGGGAGACGAUCUGCGUCAAUUGACUAUCGAUGAAAAAAAAAAUAUUGUUGUCCCUAUUAAGAGCUCUAGAAAUAUUCUGAUCGUCACUUAUGAUUUUUGUAUGGUGGAGAUAUUUCUCACAUACAAUCUAAUUAAUUUUCAGAAUAUGCAGAUAUCUUUGACAUAUUUAUGACAUCUUUUGGAGGGGAUUAUGAUACUACAUGUUUUCGUUCUUCUCAACGGUAUGUCUCUAACCACACUCCUGCGAAUGUUAAUUUGAUAGGUAACAGUGAAGCGGUUUAUUCCGUCAAAAGUCAGGAUAGCCGAAAACAAUGAUCGUCCUAUGUAUUUGGUUACUAGUUACAAGUUUAACAUUUUAUUUUUUUAUGGAAACACAAGUUUUAGCUCUCCGUCACUAUUUGCUCUUUUUGCAAUUGAAUUUUUGCUUGUUAAUGGCUGCAUUCUUAUGGAUUGAUUGUAAGUGAUUCAAUUUUUUCAGUUUUCACAUUUAGAUAUUUCUAAAUUGAAUUUGAUUUUAAAUAAUUGUAAAUUUUUGUUAGACUCUAGAAUUGAUAUUUUCUGUUAGAUGGGUUUGUCAUCAUGCUACUCUAAUUGCUCAUAUUUUAGUUAAAGAAUCUAUUAGAUAUGAUCAUUUCUCUAUUUGGGAUGAUAUCCCUCUUUAUUUAAUAAAAUUAAAAAAAAAAAAAACAUGUGAUUCAUUUUGCCUAUAUAAUACUCCUAUCACAAAAGAUUUAUAUUUCAACUUAUUCUCUCAAAUAUAAUUAUGGUCGUUUGUAAAAAUAGAUUUAUAUUUUUCAAUUAUGAAAUAAAGUUAUUUUUUUUAGUAAUUGGUUUCAAAUUUUUUAUUCACCUCUUCCUUACAUUAUUUAUAAAAAAAAUUUUAUUAAUACAAUAUUAGUUUUUUUAUAAUUUCUAGAUUAUUAAAAAUUACAAGUAAUAAAUAAUUAAUUUUUAAAAAAUACAAAAAAUUAAUAUAUAAAUUUUACUAGACUAUAAAAAUUAAAUGGUAUUUCGCUUUACCACUCUUAAUGAAGCAUGAGUUUUGUGAAUCAAGAUUAAAGAUAGAUAAUCAGUUAUUUUGUAUUAAAGGAUUCAUGUCUUUCAACUGUAAAAACAAAACUUAAUUUUUUAUUUAACUAGUCUCUUAAUAUUUUUAUUAAUCUUCCAAUUUAUAAAAACGCCACAAAUAUGAACUCUAGACCCAUAAGAAAUCUUGACGCAACACUCAUAUCCAAUAAAACUCCAAAAACACUCCACACCAAUAUCUCUAAGCCUUAUCUGAGUUUUUAAUUGAAACUUGAACAAAAGGAGAUACUCUCUCAAUUGUAGCUGAAGUCAGAGCAGAGCCAUCAUACUAAAGACGGGAGAAAAGCAUCGCCACCAUUGAGCAACAUGGCCAAAGCUACCUAGAUUCGAAGAUGAGCAACACUAAUUAGAAAGAGAAUGCAUGCUUCUCUAAGUUAGAUGGUAACAUAGACAUUGGACGCUAGGGAAAGAGAAGAAUUACACUUCUACAAUCAAGUUGAGCAUCUGCACCAAAGCCAAGAGGGAGAGCCUCCAAAACCUAUUGAUACAUGUGGAAGAAAAAAGAAGGAUGCAUGACAAACUCGAUGCGCCAGAGUAGUUGCUCCUUCACCCAUCCUCUCAUUUCCACUGCUUAAUGACACCAUUGAAGUCCAAAACAUGAAAGCCCUCCAUAUUUGUAAAAAAUACGACUAAAAUACAGUAAAAGAGAAAAAAAAAUUAACAAUUAUAAUCAAGCCUUCUUUAAGUAUCGCGGUCACUGAACAACCCAAAAUUAAUAUUUAUAACUUUCAUUUAACGGAAAAAGACUAGAUACCUCAAAAGAAAUUUUCUCUUUAAGAGAAGAUAUAGACUCUCAUUCUUUUUGUUGAUCAUUUUUUAUUGAAAAAUUAACUAUUUAGUCUUUAUGGUAUAAUAAAAUUCACUAGUUAAUUUUUUUUAUUUUAAAAAAUAUAUUAAAAUACUCUACGUUUUAAAAAAUUUAUUAAUUAGUUUUUUUAUUUAUUUUAAUCAUUAAAUAUUAUAAAAAAGUCUAAAAUAGUCAUAAUAUUAAGGGACUAAUUAGUAAAUUUUUUUUCAAAACUUAAAGGAUUAACUAAUGAAUUUUUUAAAACUAUAUGAAUUAAACAGUAAAAUAUUUAACGAUUAAAAUUAAUGGAUGAAUUAAUUAGUAAAUUUUUUAAAAUAUCAGUUUAAUAUAUUUUUAAUGAAAGAGUAACCAUAAAAAUUAAAUAAUAAUUUUUUUAAUUUUUAAAUUUGAGUCCAUGUUGAAUAUGAAUAUAAUAGUGUUGUACAUGUUAGUGAUUCAAGGCUGAGGCAAGCCUACAGUUGGCUUGCAAAUAGAAAAAAGUUCUAUAAGAAGUUCUUUUUUUUUUUAAAAAAAAAAUUGCAAUUAUUAUUUGUACAUUUUUUUAGAAGAUAUGACAUUAAGCAUCUCAAAUACUAAACCACGCAGUAAAUGUAGCAGCUCGAAUUGGAAUAAGGUUGACAUUAAUCUCUAUUUUUCAUUUGUACAAAAACAAAAGCAGACAAAAAACUUCACAAACUAAGGCCAGAGGAAAAGGCAAUCCCAGCCAUGUUCAGGCCUUUCAUGUUGCAAUUUGGGACUGGAAUCCAAUUCCAAUAGCCCCUCCCUAUGUCAUAAGACAGCCAUAUUAUAUCCCAUAAACCUUCGUAAUUAGACAAUAAAACUGCCCUAAUUAUCUCUUCUCUGCGCUCUAAGCACCCCAUUAUUACCCUAUAUGGCUUCUUAAUCUCCUCAAUUAUUUUACUUGGAACUUUCGAAUCACGCUCCCACUGUCCACCGCUUGUCACCAAUCCCCAUAAUUCUAUAUCAUUUAACAUUCUCGCUCCUGUACUCGCAUCACCUACUCCGUUUGAUUUUAUGAUUAACAUGUGUCCAUCACCAUACACGUGUAGCCGAUCAAUCACAUUCCCCCAGCUGAAUCCAACGGUUAGUUGCUGCCCAUCUUCUCUUCCACCCUCAAAUCUUGGCCGCACAACUAUUGGAGCAUCAAAUGUUUCCAAUCCGGCUAUCAUUAUUACGCUUUCGUACGGUCCAUUUACUACGUUGAGAAAUAUGUAAUUACCCUCUCUUUGGAAUCCACGUGGCAAUCUUUCAAUAUUUUCUCUUGCUUCUAUAGAAAGCCAUUUGUCAGUUUCGGACGAGUAUAGAAACAAAACCGGCCGAUUCUCCACUAGCUCCGCAAACAAAAAACGGAAACUAUUCGACCCGGAAACUAGUUUCAUCCCGGAUCUUCGCCAGGAAGACGUGCCACGUGGACCCAAUGGACUUGGAGGUAUCUUUUUAACCGUCUUGGCAGACAAAUUAACGGCAAUAACUUCCUUGCGACUGUUAAAAGAAAAGAGGAAAACGUCGCCACUUGCAGCUAGAAAAUAAAUGCUCUCACCUGGAGAAAUCAGGGGUUUGAGUAAAUUAGCAAUUUGCAGCUUGAACCAGCGAUCAGAUUGAUCGGAAAAUCCGUGAAGAACUGAGUCGCGAUGCCAGCGUUUCUUGAAGACGAAGAGCCAAGUGGUAGACCUUGAUCGCAAAUUGUAAUAGCGUACGAAAAUUUGAUCGGAGAUUAAAUCAGAAAAAGAUUUGUUGAGAGAUUUGAUAAAAAGGAUUUCGGGUAUAGCGAGAUUGAGGAGUAUGCGGUGGAUGAGUUCUGAAGGAAGAAGGCAAAAUCCAACCGAAUUUGGCAAAUUUCUAGGAUUUUCCAUCAUGGGUUAAAGGUCAGAGACAUGAAACUUCGAUUAUAUAGAGGCAACACAGGUGGAUUCAUUAAUGAUUAUAGAUUUUUUUUUUCGUGAUUAUGUGAAGGGCUAAUGAAGUGGAAAUUAAAGGACAAAUGAUCCAACAAAGCAUCCCAUGCGGGGGACUUAUAAUAAUAUCGGGAAAGGGACGGUGGAAGGCGGUUGAGACAUUGGAUUUUGUUUUUACGAAAAGGUUGACCUGUGCAUUACAUUCAAUACUUCUAAAAAUAUUAAUAAUUAAAUGAUUAAGAUGAUUUUAAAAGUAAAAAUACGUGUAAAUUAAACAAUUAUUAGGCUCCAGUGGUGAUAGUGACGUGGCCUUUAAAAUGCUUAUGCUGGACAAAGCAGGCAAGGCAAUAAUUAAUUUGAGAGGGAUGAAUCGUGUUGAUGGGUUGAUGAGAGGGACGCUUGCUGGAAAAAUUUAUACAGUGCCCAUGUCGCAACUUAAUAAGUAUAUCAUUUCAAUUAUUUAUUUAUUUUCUAAAACAAUACUGAUUAGUUUUUUAAUGUGACUCGCUAAUUAACUUUUUAUUUUUUGGAUUUAUUUAUAUAAAUUUUCCUACAUAAAAUAUUGUAUAAUGACGCCACUUGAUGUGAACCUUCCUUUAAUGACAGUGGAUUAGAACUUUCUCAGAUAAGCAGGGGUUUUGGUUUUCUUUAAAGAUUGCUUUUGUGGUCAGUGAUGAGUAUGGAAAAUACAUUUGGCUCCUAAGGGAAAAAGUAUUAAACUAUGGAAAGGAAACAAAAAGAUGGGAAUUUAAUUGGUUUUUUUAAUUAUGUCAAGUAGUAUUUAAAGUCCACUUAAAAAUAAGUGGACAAAAGAUUGAAUUCAAGUUCUCCAUAUUGAAUAAUGUUGUUAAUCGAGCUGACUAAACACUUCGGUUGAGAAUUUAAUUGUUGGAUUAUGCUACUCCAAUGAAAUAAAUUUUGCAACCCAAUACUCAAUUUUUUAAGACAGUGUUAAUGAAAUUUCAGAAUAUGUGAGAGCUCAGCUUCGUUUGCGGCUGUCCUUUGUGCUUAUGUGAAGAGUCAAAUUACCUAUCAACCACUAGAGGAUAUGACCUGGGAAGUAAAAUGGGAUUUGAACUUCUUUUUUUUUUUAACACUGUUUCUCUCUAGUCUUUGUGGAAAAUGUGUUGGAUCCCAUCAUCGGUAAACAACGGGAAAAUAGAAGAGUUUAAAAAAGGGGGGAAUAAAUGAGUCGAACCAAAAAUGGGUGAUUUUGGUAGAGGUGAAUCCAUCUGUAGAAGUUCAAAAUACUGUGCUCCAGCUUAUCCACAUCCCUUCAACUGCAAGUACAAGAUAGGCUGGUUUUUGGGCAGCCAUUUCUCUGUCCUGGAUCAAUUCCACAAGAGUUGAUGGGAACUGGCCCAACAAAUUUGUGCCUGAUGGGCUGAUUUAUUCGCGGCCUGCAAGUGAACGGUCCCCACUGCGUUUAGCUCAGCCUGGGAAAUGCAGAAAAUCAUAAAAUUCUAGCUCUAGAUAUUUUUAGCUCUCUGAAACUAACAAAUAAGCGGAGAAGCAAUGGCUGCUCCGCGCUCUCUCCACCACCAAAAUAGACCACCCGUAUACUCGGACAACAUCUUUCUUAGGAAUCCCACAAACUGAACCUCCGGUAUUAAAGCCACCAACCAGAACAACACCAGCAGCCCAAAUCAACCGCAACCAUGUCUUGUUUCCCUGGAAAAAUGCUCCAACAUGUUCCAGCUCAAGGAUAUCCACGCCCAAAUGCUCAGAAUGGCCUAACCCUUUGAAGCCAGUAAAAUUGUGGGCUUUUGCGCUUCUCUGGAAGCCUCCAUUAUGCUCGUCUCGUCUUCUCUAAAAUCCACAAUCCCACACCCUAUACUUAUAAUUAUUCUAGAAAGGAAUUCAGAUGAGAAAUUAUGGGCAUGUCUGGGUAAUUCCAAACAGCUGUACAAUGACAAUUAGAUCUAGGCAAUUCAUGGAAAUAAAGUCGAGAAUUCUCAAGCAAUUUCCCAAAGAACUCAAUCUUGAAAUCUAGCAUUUAUGAGUACAAAAUCCCACAGCCAGCUUCCCAGUAAUAAUGUAAAAUGUGAAAACACAAGACUUCAAGAAAGCAACAUAGAAGAAACCCAAACUGUUAAUAGAAGGCCAAAGCUUUAUCUAUAGUAAAGGAGAUAAAAUAAAGAUAUAGCGUAUGUAAGAGGGAUAAUGUUUUUAAAGGAAGAUGCAUAAAACUUAGAUACUCCUUAGUCUCUAGUACUAGAGAUAAAACUUCCAUUCAUUACGAGAGACCUCUUCAAGCAUACCAAGCUAAAUAGAUUAAGAAAACAGAUGAAAUAAUAGUUCUAAUGCAAAAACUUGCUUACUAGAUAUGCUUCUCCCUUAUUUCUCCUCGUCACCACUAUUUUGUUUGACAAGUUGCCUUUCUUCAUCGCCAUCAUUCUCACUGUUUGUCGGCUUAGGAACAGGCGCAGCUGCAGGUCUACUAACUGACUGCUGAUAGAGGACACCGCCAGCAAGAGUGAAGAGCAGGCAAAGCAAACCAAAUGGACUAGCAUGCUUAUCCCAAAUGAGCACAUUGAUCACAACUGUAAGAAACUUAUUCACCACACCAGUCACAGUGAAUGCUGUUGCAGAUAUUGCCUUUCUUGCUGCAAAUCCAAAGAAACUAAUAGCCAAACCAAAAACACAGGACAAUGAAACUGCACAAAUUGCAUCCAAUUGGAUCCAAUUCCCAGCCUUUGAUCUCAAAGAAGCAAACACCUCACUAUACUCGCCUGUGAGAAUCCAGAACAGCGGAGCCAUCAUCAAUGACAACGAAUUGUUGUACAACACAAGAUCCCAUGUGUUCAAUCCAACAUUUGUCACAAUGUGUUUGAUGUAAACCAUCUCCAAAGUGAUGGUGACUAAAUAAGCAAAUGCCCAAGAAUAGGCUGUCAAAGUAAAAGCAGAAUCGGUGGCUACAUACCCAACAGCACCACCCAAAAUGACAAACAACGACAAGGAAGUAAGCUUCGAUGGGAUGGGUUGUUUUCUAAAUACACUAUCAGCAAUAGCAACCAAAAGGGGCGUCAAGGAUCUGAACACUAUGAAAGUUUCCACAUUGGCAUGGCGCAAAAGGUUGGUAUUUGUAAAGAUUGCAAGGUAGAAAACAAUUGCAGCCGGUAAGAACUUCUUGGCAGUUUCAUAUGUGAAGGGAUCAUGACGCAAAAAUCCUAAUUUGCCAAAAAACCAGACGGCCAACGCAGAGGUCAAAUACUGUAAUGCAGUUAAAAGACCUGGAUAGUUGAAUGUGGUGAUAGCAAACUUAUUAAUCACAGCAAGGAAACUUGAACAGACAGCGUAACCCAAUACAAGACUGCUCGUGGCUAAUUGCUUUGUGGAGUCGACUUUGGCAGAAGACAUUUGCAACCCCUUUGUGCGUUUGAGUUGAUUGCGGAUAUUCUGAGGAAGAAUUUAGUAGAUCGUUGACAAACAAAAGAGGCAAAUAAGCGUUAACUGAGGCAUCUGCGGCCAUUACUAAUGAAUAUGAACUGGAAAACGACUUGAAUGCCCAAAUUCCGAGACAUGGAUAGCUAAAAUCGCGUUGAUCCAUUACAACAAAAGCAGAGAAAUCGAGAGAAGUGAAAAAAAAAAAAAUCAAACGCUGAAACCGCUGAUUAUGAUUAUAAGAGCAGUAACGGCAAAAUAGGGAAAUGAAAUCAAGAAUGAGAAGAGAGAGACAGAGUGGUGGGUGUAUCACCGACACGAAACCGGAGAGAAGACGGGAGACAGAUCGCAGAUCCUGAUUGGUGGCAGUGCAUGGUCAAAUACGUUCUUCGAAUGGAAAAAACAAAAAAAAGUACUUGAUUUUGUGUUCAUUUAUUUCUUCCCCUGUCCACGAGGACUUGCAUUUAAAUUAUUUUCAUUUUUUUCUCCUCUUUUCUUUUUUUUAACAUUUUUUUAAUUCUUUAUUUACUUUCCCACUGUCUUUUCUUAUCAUUUUCUUGUAUUUUUCUCUCAUUUUCUUUCUACCCCACCUUUCCUUUCUUUCAUUUCCUAUCUUCCUUUCCUAUUUCUUUUUAUUACUUUCACUUUCUUUUCUUUUUUAAGUAUUUUUUAUUUUCUAUUAUUUUUUCUAUUUUUAUAUUUUUUUAUCAUCAGGUUUUCUUCUCCCUUUAACUUUGCCAUAACAUUUUCCAUUUUAAUUAACAUAGUAUUUCUUUAUUUGGUACCAUCAUUUUUUCUCUUUUGAAAUAGGUUUUCUCAGUCAUUGUAUUGCUAAUAAUUAUUAGACAUAAAAUAAAAUAUAUUUAUAAUAAAAAAAAUAUUUUAAAUCUCACAGAUAAUUAAAAUUUUUAUUAUUUUAAUUGAACAUUUAUUUAUUAAAAAAUACCAAUAAAUUUUAAACCCGUUUCAGAUUUAUUAGCGAAGUUACAUAAAAUUUUUUUUUAUUACAUAAUUAUGGUAAUAUUUGAUGGUUCAGCAACAACCUGCAUCAUUCAUUACAUUCUAAUUACUGCAAUUACAGCCUUAUGAUGCAAGUAUCUUGUUGGUUAAAUCUAAUUAUAAAGAUAAAAUUCCGAUCGAGGUUUGAUUGUUUCUUCUCUUAAUUGCAUGUUUGACUUAAUUUAUAAAUUCAUCCAAUUAACUUGUCUCUAUUUUAAUCUAAUUUAUUUAUUAAAAAAUAAUUGGGGGCUUGCAAAGAUUCUCAUUAGAUCACUGAAUUAAUAUAGAAUUAUCAAAAUGACGACACCGAGCAGUCAAGUACAUCUCAUCUCAUCAUCUUGCAGAGAUGCAAAACCGUACGAGUUUGGCUUAGAGUUAAUAACCUGACAUCUAGCAAAAAACCCCGCAUGAUAAUAGAUAAUUACUAAUAACAAUUAAUUAACGAGCUAAUUAUGAUGAUUAUGCUGCUGGGGCACAGUCAAAAUCAUCGUCAUCGUCAUCAUCACCCUCCAUGGAUGCAGCAGGCGCAUAGUCAUAAUCUCCAUCGUCAUCGUCUCCAUCACCUUCUAUGCAUGGCGCGGGUGCACAAUAAUAACCAUGUUCAGCUUCAUCGUCUUCAUGGAAAUUGAACCAAGUGGAAAUGGCUCUGGAGACUAGAGACAUUGUAGAAGGUAUAUAUUUAAUUUGGUUCAAAGGAGAAGGGAAAAAAGAGCAAGAACAGGAAUGGAAUUAAUCAAUGGCUAUGGUGGU